This is a non-coding RNA of Camellia sinensis, 343 nucleotides long. The record is from RefSeq and is a predicted model, not a curated record. NCBI's taxonomy places the organism in Eukaryota, Viridiplantae, Streptophyta, Magnoliopsida, Ericales, Theaceae.
CAAAAGGCGAGAGCUGGUUUUCAGAGACUUCCAUUACCUUUUACCCGUUCCGAACUCACUCAACACUCAUCACGAUGGAUCGGUAUCAGAGGGUAGAGAAACCGUGGCCAAAGACGCCGAUUAAGAAUGAGAUUCGUAUAACCACUUAGGGAAGGAUGAGGAACUACAUUAUUUAUGCUACCACUCUGUUUAAGGGUCUUGGAAGAUAAUCAGCUUGAAGGACCUCUUCAUCAAAACCUUGGAAAUUUGAGCUGCAUGAGGAGGCUGUAAGAAAGUUCUUUCUUUUUGUUUUAAACUUAAUACUUUUUUCUAAAGUAUACACUUGAAUAUACCGAAUUACAUG